Molecule: non-coding RNA, 1430 nt
Organism: Salmo salar (Atlantic salmon)
Lineage: Eukaryota; Metazoa; Chordata; Actinopteri; Salmoniformes; Salmonidae
Source: RefSeq, a predicted model, not a curated record
CCUCCCGUCUGCCUUCCAUCUUUGAGGAAAGGUAUUUCCAUUGUCACUUCACUAUCUUGUCACUAUAAUAGACCAUAUUUCUUUUAACACUGAAGCCUCACACGUGAGGGGGACGCACACACGCUGCAUUUGAGUGGUAAGGCUGAAGCAAUCGACUGUAGACAUAAGCUGAGAAGUGAAGUCGGGGAGGUGCAUCUGCUACAGACGAAAGUCGGACACUGAUGUGGUUUUCCAACGGUUGCUGAGCCGCUGGUGAGAAACGGGGCAUCGGUCAAUGUAACUAAUUGAUUUCACCCCUCUCUUUGAGGCUGCAGCCAAGGGCAAUUAGCUCAAGAACUGUGAUGGUAACAUGUCUUUGGGCAUGGUGAAGGAGAGAGACAAGGGCAUCCUGGACAUGCUGGAAGGAGAUGCUGCCCUCCUGGAGCACUGGGAUGACAACAACGCUCAGGUCAAAGGAGGCCUCAUCUCCCUGCACAACGCAGACUCAUACGGGCACAUGCAUAUUUCAGUCCUCCUGAUCAACUUUCAUGCAGUGGCCCAGCACCAGUCAGUAUGUAGCCUGACACCACUGGAGGUGAACUGAUGAACAAUGGCCCAGCACCAGUCAGUAUGUAGCCUGACACCACUGGAGGUGAACUGAUGAACAAUGUCCCAGCACCAGUCAGUAUGUAGCCUGACACCACUGGAGGUGAACUGAUGAACAGUGGCCCAGCACCAGUCAGUAUGUAGCCUGACACCACUGGAGGUGAACUGAUGAACAGUGGCCCAGCACCAGUCAAUAUGUAGCCUGACACCACUGGAGGUGAACUGAUGAACAGUGGCCCAGCACCAGUCAGUAUGUAGCCUGACACCACUGGAGGUGAACUGAUGAACAGUGGCCCAGCACCAGUCAGUAAGUAGCCUGACACCACUGGAGGUGAACUGAUGAACAGUGGCCCAGCACCAGUCAGUAAGUAGCCUGACACCACUGGAGGUGAACUGAUGAACAGUGGCCCAGCACCAGUCAAUAUGUAGCCUGACACCACUGGAGGUGAACUGAUGAACAGUGGCCCAGCACCAGUCAGUAAGUAGCCUGACACCACUGGAGGUCUUGAUGGUACAGUAUUUGUGUAGAAUAAGAAAGAAAACCAGUAGGUGACCAGUAAAAUGCAGACAACUUUAGUGAACUAUUUAGACAUAACAUAUACACAAGAAUCCAGUAUAAGUAGGAGCAGAUCAGUCUAUAGUUUACAGCAACAUGAACAUGACCAUAUCCCUGUCCAACGGCAGUAGCUCAGACACCUCCAUCCCAACGCCGAUGUCCACGCACCCCAGAAAUCCCUCAUCCUCAUACCACUCCUCUUCCUCCUGCAUGUCCAGCUGAUGGACCUGAGCCCUAGGACCAUGCCUCAGGACUACCUGGCAUGAUGACUCCUUGCGGUCCCCAGUCC